CCUACGGGGGGCAGCAGUAGGGAAUCUUCCGCAAUGGGCGAAAGCCUGACGGAGCAACGCCGCGUGAGUGAUGAAGGUCUUCGGAUCGUAAAACUCUGUUAUUAGGGAAGAACAAAUGUGUAAGUAACUAUGCACGUCUUGACGGUACCUAAUCAGAAAGCCACGGCUAACUACGUGCCAGCAGCCGCGGUAAUACGUAGGUGGCAAGCGUUAUCCGGAAUUAUUGGGCGUAAAGCGCGCGUAGGCGGUUUUUUAAGUCUGAUGUGAAAGCCCACGGCUCAACCGUGGAGGGUCAUUGGAAACUGGAAAACUUGAGUGCAGAAGAGGAAAGUGGAAUUCCAUGUGUAGCGGUGAAAUGCGCAGAGAUAUGGAGGAACACCAGUGGCGAAGGCGACUUUCUGGUCUGUAACUGACGCUGAUGUGCGAAAGCGUGGGGAUCAAACAGGAUUAGAUACCCUUGUAGUC
RNAcentral lists this ribosomal RNA (465 nucleotides) under uncultured bacterium. RNAcentral's name for it is "bacterial SSU rRNA". It matches the Rfam family "Bacterial small subunit ribosomal RNA", at positions 338 to 795 of the family's 1533-position model. The record is from RNAcentral.